GAGAAAAGGGGAAGAGGGAAGAGGGCACAUUUGUGGUGCUUAGCUUAACCACAUCAUCAGAAUCAAGACAUACAUUCAAAACAACGCUGUGUUCAUCUCUACCUCACGUGUGCACACACGCUCACAAGACUAGUGUCUUAACUGGAAGAGAGUUAUGACAAGGGAACUUUCAAAAGGCUUCUGCUUUUAUUUGUAUUUCCGGAGCUUUUCUCUUUCAGUAGGUAUAAGAGGCACUGCUGAGAAGCAGAUCAUUUGUCAGCGAGCCCUUUAAUUUAGGCAGUGUUUACCUGAUGCACACGUUACACGAAGACAGAGCCCGUGUCCGCUGUCUGAGCUCAGAGCUGAGAAAGGCGAGGUGCUGAAAAGGUGUGAUGCAAAAGGCUGUACCCGUGCUAAGGGGACAGCCUCUGAUCAAAGCCGCAUCCCGGUACUGAGCUGGGACAGUGCUUCUCGCUUGAUGCCAGGUCAGGUUGUUGGAAGCUUUCUGCUUCUCCUCCUGCCUCUGGUUCUGCCCCCAGAGACCUCCUAUGAACCGCAGGAAACCCAGAAGAGAGCAGAGCCAAACUGGCCCCUCCCUGGGGAUCAAAAGUUAAGUGCCAUCUCCUGCUCUCCGGAGACCUGCCUGUCAAGCUCUGGAAGUGAGUUUGAAGACCAAAGGAGCCUUGCCCCAGAGGCCUUUGCCCUUCACUGUAAAUUCUUAGCCCUCAUGUCCUGUGUCUGUGGUUCAACAAAUAUUUCAGUUCAAGCUGCUGAUACAGGAGCAGAUCCCUUGCUCCUUAUGUGGUCAGAGCCAAAAGAUUCUUGAAAGAGAAAAUAAAUCAGGUUGUUCCCAGAGCUCACCCUUGAUUAGCUGCAAAUGUAACUAAUUAGUUCAUGAGUCAGUCUCAGGCAAAGGUGAGAGCCCUUGAAUUUGGAUCUGAAGUGUCCUCACAAACAAGGGGAGUGGGCACAUUGCCCACUGUGAAGCUCCCCCUGAACCUCGAGCUUCCUGUCAUUCCAUCAGUCACAGAUGACUCGAGUUACAGUCAACAAAAGGUUGCAAGAAAACUGAGUCAAGAGUUCAGCAGAGGAGUUACAAAAAGACUAAGGCUGUCAAUAAAAUCUUAU
Long non-coding RNA from Bubalus bubalis (water buffalo), 1107 nucleotides. RefSeq lists it as uncharacterized. The record is from RefSeq and is a predicted model, not a curated record. NCBI's taxonomy places the organism in Eukaryota, Metazoa, Chordata, Mammalia, Artiodactyla, Bovidae. The transcript is spliced from 2 exons.